Sapajus apella (tufted capuchin) is the source of this 1809-nucleotide long non-coding RNA. RefSeq lists it as uncharacterized. The record is from RefSeq and is a predicted model, not a curated record. The transcript is spliced from 3 exons. NCBI's taxonomy places the organism in Eukaryota, Metazoa, Chordata, Mammalia, Primates, Cebidae.
CUGGCCUCGUGCUACUUCAAUAUCCAAAUCUGAUGAAUGACCUUUUUGCUCUAGAGGGAGCCUUUCUUAUUCUGGAGAAAGAAGCCUCAUAGCCUAGGGCUGGUGUGAAUGACUGCAAAGGUAGUUGCCUUUUGGAGAAGCCACCCGGCCCCAUUCUUGGUCCGGUGAUGUGAGUGGGGCUGAUCUCGUUUUUGGCUCCAGGGCAGAAAGCCUCCAGGCCUGGGCAACAAGCACGCCACAUUCUCUGGUCGCGGUGGCUGGUCAGAGGCAAGCAAGGCCCUUCAGAAGGCAGCUCUAGACUCUUUCUGGAGCUUUUAGGAAGGGGGUGUGUCCUUUCCACAGCGGAUGCUGAGCUGAAGGGAAGCCUGGAACAGGCAGCAGCCACUUGAGAAUGAAGACAACCCAAAAGGAAGUGGAGCCAAAGCCUAGAAAGAGAGGCAUUCCCCUUAAGACACAGCUAGAAACCUGAAUGUGUAAAGAAACAGGUCAUGUGUAAAGGCAGCUCAAAGAUCUCAAUGACAGGAGCCCAUCAAGUCUCUCUUUGUUUAAGCUAGUUGAAGUUCUGAACCCUGAUGUUUCUAAUAGUGUUAUGUGGUUAGGAGUCACCUAAAUUGGAUUAUCUGAUGACUGAUUUUGUUGAAGUUCAACACUAUGGGGCACGAUCCAGUACUUUCAAGAGAAGGCACGUUAGUACCCAAACGGCAUUGAUCUUACAAUUAAAACCGGGGAGAAAAUGUGAGUCCCUUUCUCCCAGAGGAUGUUCCUGCUGAGAGCUACUACUUCGGUUCUUUUUACUUCACAAAUCCUAACCCUUGUACAUCAGUAUAUUGCUUUCUCAGGCUUCAUCUCAUGCAGCUAUGGAGAUCCAGGGAAAGGGAAUGACUGGCGGCAGGGCACAUGUCGGCUGGUGGCCAGGCGGGGAUGAUAACUCUGGCCCUGAGCGCUGUGUGCUUUCUGAAGCAUGCUGCUUCAAGCUUUAUCAAUGUGGCCUCUUGUUUCUUGGUGGACAGAUGUACUUUUCUGCCCGUUGGUAACUCAUGGAAUACAACAGAUGGUAGGUGAAUACCAGAGAGCAUCCUGAAGGAUUUUCUAGGGGAACAACAUGAACUAGAUUAUGCUUCUCUGGCCUCAUUUCAACAACAUCCUCAGAAUCUUGUCUAUUAUUGAUGCCUUGAGGACCAUAUGUUGCCUAUGAGGAUAUGUCCCGAUGUAGCAUACUCUAGUUGCACAACAUGGGACAAAAUAAUAAUACAAUAAAAUGGUGCUAGAACAACUGGAUAUCAGUAUGAAUUUAAAAAUGGGCAAAUGAUUUGAACAACCAUUUUAUAAAGAAAUUUAUGAAUGGUUAAACAUGCAAAGAUACUCAACACCGCUAGUCGUUAAGGAACUAUAAUUCAAACUACAAUGAGAUAGUGGUUUGAUUUAUAGUAGAAUGGCAAAAAUUACUCAGUAGAAUGGCACAAUUAAAAAGAUUGACAACACUCAGUGUUGGUGAGGAUGUGGGACUCUCCUACCUUGCUGGUGGAAAUCCAAAGGGAUACAGCCACUUUGGAGAAGAGUUUGACAGAGUUUUAUAAAGUGUCCUAAGUAUUUUCCCAAGAUAAAUUAAAAUAUUUAAUUUUAAUUGUUUACAUACAAAUACUUGUAUGCAGAUGUUCAUAGCAACAUUUUUUUGUAACAGCUAACAACUGGAAACAGUGCAAAUGUUCAUCAGUCACAAACAAAUUAUGGUAAAUCCAUGCUCAGCAAUAAAAAGGAUUUAAAUAUUAAUACAUACAAUAAGGUAAAUGAAUUUUAAAAUAACUUUGC